AUCAAAACUUUCAACAACGGAUCUCUUGGUUCUGGCAUCGAUGAAGAACGCAGCGAAAUGCGAUAAGUAAUGUGAAUUGCAGAAUUCAGUGAAUCAUCGAAUCUUUGAACGCACAUUGCGCCCGGCAGUAAUCUGCCGGGCAUGCCUG
This 148-nucleotide ribosomal RNA is filed under the name Scedosporium boydii. RNAcentral describes it as "5.8S ribosomal RNA". It matches the Rfam family "5.8S ribosomal RNA". From Rfam's summary of the family: 5.8S ribosomal RNA (5.8S rRNA) is a component of the large subunit of the eukaryotic ribosome. It is transcribed by RNA polymerase I as part of the 45S precursor that also contains 18S and 28S rRNA. Functionally, it is thought that 5.8S rRNA may be involved in ribosome translocation. Lineage: Eukaryota; Fungi; Ascomycota; Sordariomycetes; Microascales; Microascaceae. The record is from RNAcentral.